Molecule: ribosomal RNA, 253 nt
Filed under: uncultured bacterium
Lineage: Bacteria
Description: partial 16S ribosomal RNA
Rfam family: Bacterial small subunit ribosomal RNA
Source: RNAcentral
UACAUAGGGCGCAAGCGUUGUUCGGAUUCAUUGGGCGUAAAGGGUGCGUAGGCGGCGCGGUAAGUCGGGUGUGAAAUCUCGGGGCUUAACUCCGAAACUGCAUUCGAUACUGCCGUGCUUGAGGACUGGAGAGGAGACUGGAAUUUACGGUGUAGCGGUGAAAUGCGUAGAUAUCGUAAGGAAGACCAGUGGCGAAGGCGAGUCUCUGGACAGUUCCUGACGCUGAGGCACGAAGGUCAGGGGAGCAAACGGG